GACUCCCUCUCAAAAAAAAGGUGACUUGAAAACAUAAUCACUCAUAUCAACUUAAAGGAAAAUAUACAGCACCUCCUAGGUGAUCACUAUUAUGUUAAGUGGGUAAAUGCUUUAUGUUUUUUUCACAACUGAAGCCAAUGCUGAAUGAAGAGCGUCUGUUCUACAUUUUGCAAGGACUGGAAUGUUGGUAUAAUCGAGACAAGAUGGCUGGCUCACUGACAGUUUAGGUGAGAGAAAUGCACACCAAAGCCAUCUGUUUUGUUACCUCACCACAAGGAGAAGGGACACACUCUUAUGAGGAAUACUCACUGCUUGAUAUACCUUAACAUGAAUACAGAUAUUUUAAGGGCUUCAUGCAGAAUUAGACAAUAUACCUCACUGUGUUACCUGGCAGUCAAGAAUUACUCACUUUCAGAGUGAAUUCACUCUGGCCUAUGCAUAAAUCAGGGCAAACAACAACAACAAAAAACCAUCAAACAUGCAGAGGAAGAUGUGAAAGACCAAUGUUUCUAACGUAAUUCUCGUCAAGCUCGUCGGUAUGUAGGAAAAAUGUAUGUAACACUUUAUUCUAGAAAUUUCCAUUUAAAGCCACCGCUCUGAGUUCCCUGACACUCCUGCAUAGUCUGACCUUGCUUAGGAAGACUGAGAAUCUGUGGAGCUGCUCUAGAAAAAGGGUGGGCGGGGGUGGAUAAGCAGCCCUCUUAUCCCUACUUUUCCCUUUUACUAAGAACCCAGGAUGGUUGAAUGCAAGGUCCGUUUUUAUUCUGAGGAUAGAAAAAAUUCAGGGCUUUCCCAGGCUAUUUCACCCACACUAUCUAUCUCAUUUGGUUUUAUCUAUGUUUGGUUCUAGAUUCACUAAAGAUAGAAAAGCCGCAUAUAACCCUUAUCUCUUCCUUUUGUGUGGUGCAGUGAUGUAAAAUCACCCUAUGGGAUCCAAAAGAAUUUGGAAUUCAAAUGGAGUUGUUUUCAGAGAGAGAAGAGGCAGAGAAAAGGAUAUCAGAAGACAAAUGGGUACCCGUGAUUGCAACAGCGCCUGCAGCAGCUCCAGGUUACCCUCAGUCUCAGAAGGACAUCUUCUCUCUCCCUGGACCAAUCACUGUAUCUUUGGUGAUUGGGAUCACAGGCUCUGGGAGUUCAGCUUGAGUGAAGUUCAUGACUCCUCAGCCCCCUGUGGGAGGGGAAACAGAGUUCUUGACUGAAGAAAAAAGGAAUUCUGAGCAAGUGACAACAGAUAUAAAAUACCACGAGGCAGCCAGGUACCAAAGGAAAAGUAUUGGCUUUGAAUUAGAAGAGUUGAAAUUGAAUUCUAACUCUAUUAUCAGUUUGCUGUGAAAGUCCAGGCAAAGUAUUUCACCUCUCUCAGACUUGGUUUCCUGAUUUGUAAAACAUGUGGAUUGGG
RNAcentral lists this long non-coding RNA (1399 nucleotides) under Homo sapiens (human). Its description in RNAcentral is "HSALNT0146150". The record is from RNAcentral. Lineage: Eukaryota; Metazoa; Chordata; Mammalia; Primates; Hominidae.